GAUGAACGCUGGCGGCGUGCCUAAUACAUGCAAGUCGAGCGAACAGACGAGAAGCUUGCUCCUCUGACGUUAGCGGGGGACGGGUGGGUAACACGUGGAUAACCUACCUAUAAUACUGGGGGAACUUCGGGAAACCGGAUCUAAUACCGGAUAAUAUAUUCAACGGCAUGGAUCAAGAGUGAAAGACGGUUUUGCUGUCACAUAUAGAUGGAUCCGCGCCGCAUUAGCUAGUUGGUAAGGUAACGGCUUACCAAGGCAACGAUGCGUAGCCGACCUGAGAGGGUGAUCGGCCACACUGGAACUGAGACACGGUCCAGACUCCUACGGGAGGCAGCAGUAGGGAAUCUUGCGCAAUGGGCGAAAGCCUGACGGAGCAACGCCGCGUGAGUGAUGAAGGUCUUCGGAUUGUAAAACUCUGUUAUUAGGGAAGAAAAACUGCGUAAGUAACUAUGCACGUCUUGACGGUACCUAAUCAGAAAGCCACGGCUAACUACGUG
RNAcentral lists this ribosomal RNA (497 nucleotides) under uncultured bacterium. RNAcentral describes it as "partial 16S ribosomal RNA". It matches the Rfam family "Bacterial small subunit ribosomal RNA", at positions 28 to 507 of the family's 1533-position model. The record is from RNAcentral.